GAUGAACGCUGGCGGCGUGCCUAAUACAUGCAAGUCGAGCGAAUGGAUUAAGAGCUUGCUCUUAUGAAGUUAGCGGCGGACGGGUGAGUAACACGUGGGUAACCUGCCCAUAAGACUGGGAUAACUCCGGGAAACCGGGGCUAAUACCGGAUAACAUUUUGAACCGCAUGGUUCGAAAUUGAAAGGCGGCUUCGGCUGUCACUUAUGGAUGGACCCGCGUCGCAUUAGCUAGUUGGUGAGGUAACGGCUCACCAAGGCAACGAUGCGUAGCCGAACUGGGAGGGUGAUCGGCCACACUGGGACCGAGACACGGCCCAGACUCCUACGGGAGGCAGCAGUAGGGAAUCUUCCGCAAUGGACGAAAGUCUGACGGAGCAACGCCGCGUGAGUGAUGAAGGCUUUCGGGUCGUAAAACUCUGUUGUUAGGGAAGAACAAGUGCUAGUUGAAUAAGCUGACACCUUGACGGUACCUAACCAGAAAGCCACGGCUAACUACGUGCCAGCCGCCGCCGUAA
RNAcentral lists this ribosomal RNA (515 nucleotides) under uncultured bacterium. RNAcentral describes it as "partial 16S ribosomal RNA". It matches the Rfam family "Bacterial small subunit ribosomal RNA", at positions 28 to 523 of the family's 1533-position model. The record is from RNAcentral.